Molecule: ribosomal RNA, 253 nt
Filed under: uncultured bacterium
Lineage: Bacteria
Description: partial 16S ribosomal RNA
Rfam family: Bacterial small subunit ribosomal RNA
Source: RNAcentral
GACGGAGGGUGCAAGCGUUGUUCGGAAUUACUGGGCGUAAAGGGCGCGUAGGCGGUCUGCUAAGUUCGGUGUGAAAUCCCCUGGCUCAACCGGGGAACUGCGCCGGAAACUGGCAGACUAGAGUCCGGAAGAGGCAAGUGGAAUUCCCGGUGUAGCGGUGAAAUGCGCAGAUAUCGGGAGGAACACCGGUGGCGAAGGCGGUUCUCUGGGCCUUACCUGACGCUGAGGAGCGAAAGCGUGGGGAGCGAACAGG